CGCUGGCGGCGUGCCUAACACAUGCAAGUCGAGCGGGGACAUGCGACGGAAGAGAAGUUUCGGAUGGAUCUGAAGAUGUAUGUUCUAGCGGCGGACGGGUGAGUAACGCGUGAGCAACCUGUCCUUCACAGGGGGAUAACACAGCGAAAGUUGUACUAAUACCGCAUAAGACCACGGCGGGACAUCCCGCAGGGGUCAAAGGAGCAAUCCGGUGAAGGGUGGGCUCGCGUCCGAUUAGAUAGUUGGUGAGGUAACGGCCCACCAAGUCGACGAUCGGUAGCCGACCUGAGAGGGUGAUCGGCCACAUUGGGACUGAGACACGGCCCAAACUCCUACGGGAGGCAGCAGUGGGGAAUAUUGGGCAAUGGGGGGAAACCCCCUGACCCAGCAACGCCGCGUGAGGGAAGAAGGUUUUCGGAUCGUAAACCUCUGUCCUUGGUGAAGAGGAAGAGACGGUAGCCAAGGAGGAAGCCCCGGCUAACUACGUGCCAGCCGCUGC
RNAcentral lists this ribosomal RNA (499 nucleotides) under uncultured bacterium. RNAcentral's name for it is "bacterial SSU rRNA". It matches the Rfam family "Bacterial small subunit ribosomal RNA", at positions 34 to 518 of the family's 1533-position model. The record is from RNAcentral.